UACAGAGGUCUCAAGCGUUGUUCGGAUUCAUUGGGCGUAAAGGGUGCGUAGGCGGCGCGGUAAGUCGGGUGUGAAAUUUCGAGGCUUAACUUCGAAACUGCAUUCGAUACUGCCGUGCUAGAGGACUGGAGAGGAGACUGGAAUUUACGGUGUAGCGGUGAAAUGCGUAGAUAUCGUAAGGAAGACCAGUGGCGAAGGCGGGUCUCUGGACAGUUCCUGACGCUGAGGCACGAAAGCGUGGGGAGCAAACAGG
Molecule: ribosomal RNA, 253 nt
Filed under: uncultured bacterium
Lineage: Bacteria
Description: partial 16S ribosomal RNA
Rfam family: Bacterial small subunit ribosomal RNA
Source: RNAcentral